GAUGAACGCUGGCGGCGUGCCUAACACAUGCAAGUCGAGCGGGGAUUUGGAAGGCGCUUGCGCCUUCUGAAUUCUAGCGGCGGACGGGUGAGUAACACGUGGGUAACCUGCCUUAUACAAGGGAAUAACAAUGAGAAAUCAUUGCUAACGCCCUAUAAGCUCACAGCUUCGCAUGAAGCGGGGAGAAAAUGUUUACAGGUAUAAGAGGGGCCCGCGGCUGAUUAGCUAGUUGGCGGGGUAACGGCCUGCCAAGGCGACGAUCAGUAGCCGACCUGAGAGGGCGAUCGGCCACAUUGGGACUGAGACACGGCCCAAACUCCUACGGGAGGCAGCAGUGGGGAAUAUUGCACAAUGGGCGCAAGCCUGAUGCAGCAACGCCGCGUGAAGGACGAAGGGUUUCGGCUCGUAAACUUCUUUAAGCGGGGACGAAGAAAAUGACGGUACCCGCAGAAUAAGCGCCGGCUAACUACGUGCCAGCAGCCGCGGUAAUACGUAGGGCGCGAGCGUUAUCCGGAAUGACUGGGUGUAAAGGGUGAGUAGGCGGUCUGGCAAGUCAUAUGUGAAAUCCCCGGGCUUAACCCUGGGACUGCAUAAGAAACUGCCGGGCUGGAGUGCGGGAGAGGUAAGCGGAAUUCCUGGUGUAGCGGUGAAAUGCGUAGAUAUCAGGAAGAACACCAGUGGCGAAGGCGGCUUACUGGACCGUUACUGACGCUGAGUCACGAAAGCGUGGGGAGCGAACAGGAUUAGAUACCCUGGUAGUCCACGCCGUAAACGAUGAGCGCUAGGUGUCGGGUCGAGAGAUUCGGUGCCGCAGCUAACGCAAUAAGCGCUCCACCUGGGGAGUACGGUCGCAAGAUUGAAACUCAAAGGAAUUGACGGGGGCCCGCACAAGCGGUGGAGCAUGUGGUUUAAUUCGAAGCAACGCGAAGAACCUUACCAAGGCUUGACAUGGAGACGACCGGCGCGGAGACGCGCCCUCCCUUCGGGGCGUCUCACACAGGUGGUGCAUGGUUGUCGUCAGCUCGUGUCGUGAGAUGUUGGGUUAAGUCCCGCAACGAGCGCAACCCUUAUCCUCAGUAGCCAGUACUUCGGGUAGGCACAGUGGGGAGACUGCCGUGGAUAACACGGAGGAAGGCGGGGACGACGUCAAAUCAUCAUGCCCCUUUUGUCUUGGGCUACACACGUGCUACAAUGGCCGGCACAAAGUGACGCGACCGCGCGAGCGCGAGCAAAUCACAAAAAAGCGGCCUCAGUUCGGAUUGUAGUCUGCAACCCGACUACAUGAAGUCGGAAUCGCUAGUAAUCGCAAAUCAGCAUGUUGCGGUGAAUACGUUCCCGGGCCUUGUAUACACCGCCCGUCACACCAUGGGAGUUGGAGGCGCCCGAAGUCUGUGACCUAACCGCAAGGAGGGAGCAGCCUAAGGUGAAGCCAGCGACUGGGGUG
Molecule: ribosomal RNA, 1444 nt
Filed under: uncultured bacterium
Lineage: Bacteria
Description: bacterial SSU rRNA
Rfam family: Bacterial small subunit ribosomal RNA
Source: RNAcentral